Molecule: long non-coding RNA, 471 nt
Organism: Oncorhynchus tshawytscha (Chinook salmon)
Lineage: Eukaryota; Metazoa; Chordata; Actinopteri; Salmoniformes; Salmonidae
Source: Ensembl
GUUACCAUGUUGGAGCCCUGUUAUACGCAGUGGAGGAAGGCGACCCCAUGCGAGAAUCGGUCACAUGCACGAUGGAACGGAGCAGCUGGCUGAUGCUUGCACAUGUAAAAAAGAUACCAGCAGCCCCUGUAGCCAACAUCGAUUUCUUAUCUGCAAGGGCUAAGAAGAGGAGGAUGGACCAGGCAGGUUGUACAAUGGAGCAGGCAACAUCAUCUCUGUCUUGGCCUCCCAUUGCUUUGUGCCCAAGUCAACAACAAAAGCACUGCCACCCUCCAUCAUGGGCUGUGCAGUUGACUCCACAACUGUGGACGACCUAUGCACAAUGACUGAAAGCCAAAUAGAGACAGUGGAGGAGGAGACAAGAAGCCAGUCUAAAUCCAAGAUCUGGUUCAGACAGCGAGCCGGACAAAUCAUUACCUCCUGCACACUGAUCCUAACAACCCUUCCAAUAGUCUUUCAAACAGCAUCAGC